This 2263-nucleotide long non-coding RNA is filed under the name Homo sapiens (human). RNAcentral's name for it is "HSALNT0327190". Lineage: Eukaryota; Metazoa; Chordata; Mammalia; Primates; Hominidae. The record is from RNAcentral.
CCCGCCCCCCAACCGCAGGCUCCCGCGCGCCACCCCGAGGGGACGGGCGCCACCUCCUGCUACGCGGCACCCGGUCCCGUCAACCGCCCAACGGCUGAGGAGUGCGGCAGCGCGCCAGAGACUGGCGGGCAGCUCCGCCCGCGGCCGGGAUGCACUAGGCAAAGCCAGCUGGGCUCCUGAGUCCGGUGGGUACUUGGAGAACUUACUACGUCUAGCUGGAGGAUUGUAAAUGCACCAAUCAGCAUGCUGUGUCUAGCUCAAGAACUCAAGCUCCAUGAGGAGAUGUUUCAUUGUCGAGAGCAGUCAUGAUGGCCUGCACUCCACACAAUGCAACAGAGUGAAAGAGCAGGUUCUGCUUCUUUGGUGUAGUCCUGAAGCUUCCUAAGAAACUUCACAUCAGGUGAUGGAUAGGAGCAACCCUGUAAAACCAGCCUUAGACUAUUUUUCAAACACUGCGCACAAUACCACAUUUCCCAGCAUUCCUUGCAUCUGGAUAUAGCUGUAUUCAAAUAAGCCGUGUGAAACUUCUGGGAUGGCUCCUUAAGUGCAGUUGACUCAUUAGGGAGGUAUGUCUUUUUUAUUUUUCUACACUUUGUGCUGCUGUCCUGGAGUACAGACAUGGUGGCUAGAAGCAUGAAAUCACCUUGAAGGUAGAAGUCAUGCAUUGAAGUUAGUAAAAGUGAAAUGUAAGUGUAUAGUUUCCUGAUGAAAAUGGGAAGCUUAUGUACUAGCAACAGAAUGCUUAUUAUGCAGGCUUCCUAUAUGUAAAAGAGGACAAAUUCUCAUUUUAUUAAGUUUCUGAAAGUAGAUUUCUAAAUGCUGGUUCUAUUUUUUAUUGAAAGUAAUGGCAAAAAACGCAAUGCCUUUUGUACCAACCUAAUAGUUAAUAAACAUAUCCUCAAAUGAAAUGUCUUAGAAUUGUGUUCAUCAAGUUAAUAUUAAUAAUUUAUUAGAAUAGCACUCUAAAGGGUUGCAGCCUAUGCAUGAAAAUACUUACAAACUACUACAUGAUAAUCAAUUCUUUUUGGCAAGACUGCUAUUUACAUGGACACAAGAGUUAUUAUAAGAAUGUUGUAUGUAUACAUGAAUAGUGUCUGUUAAACACUGGAUAUAAUAAAAACAAUAGUUUUUCUGUUAAUUAUAACAAUCUGAACAUUUUUGUGAUUAUAUUUCACAAAUGACACACCAUUUUAUUUGCAGAUUUUUCUUAUCCCCAAAGUUUUUGUUAAUUUAUUACCAACACAGCACACAAGUCUAGUGGCAAUGCAUUACCUCUGCAGUUGAUUUUGAAGUAAGAAGGCCUAUUUAUUGCAUUCAUUCCUGCUUAGAUGACAUCUUAAAUUUGUUAAUUGGAUUAUUAUGCUCUAUUCUAUACAUUUAUUGAUUUAUAGAUUUUGUGGACACAAAUUUCAAAACAUAUUCGAAAAUUUGGUGAUAGCUUUUUAGAAUCUAUUCUUCAACAUAGUUAUUGAAAGUGAACAAGAAGGACCUCCUCUAGAGAUUAGGUUGAGAACCACUUCUUUGAUUUGUUAAAUAUGUGUACAUGGAUACCAUGUGGCUUUAUUAUGAGGAGCCACUUAAGUGGCUGAGUUACAAUUCACAAAACAUUGUCACAGGGAAAAUAUCAGGACAAAUUUUCAAGUCGCAUGCCAAGAAAAGAAACUUUCUGAAUGCUUAUAAGAAAUACCUUAAUUAAUGGGAGCCCUUCAAAGUACACAAAACAUCAUAACUAGGAGUUGCAACACAACCAGCAAUUUGCUGAUUGAAAUGCAUUCAUUCAUACUGACUUCACCUGCUGAAUGGAAUAUUGUGCUGUACUGUCCUUAGCUAUGGAGAGAGAAUUAAGGAAUAUCCCCUUCUGGUGUUCAACAACAACGAAAGAGCAAGAAAGAUAUAUUCCUAAUUUUUAAAGAAGAAUGUAGAGAUACUUAAACAAGACAAUGAAGGUGGUAGAAAGAUUAUUACCAUCCCCAAAGUGUUUGCUCAUUAAAACAUUUUGUGAUUUUCUCUGCCAAUAUCAUACCUGUAUGGAUAAUUGUUUUCCUAUCCACACAGUUAUGAGAGUGAGAAGAUGGAAUAUAAAAGAUGGAACAAGAGGGAAUCUGUGUGGUGACCACAGUAAUCACAGGCUGGUUGGGAUCCUAAACUCGGCCACAGCACAAAAGCAUGUUCAAGUUUAAAGUCAUGAGAGAGGCCUGGCAUAGUGGCUCACACCUAUAAUCCCUGCACUUUGGGAGGCCAAGGUGGGAGGAUUGCUUGGGGC